Molecule: ribosomal RNA, 264 nt
Filed under: uncultured archaeon
Lineage: Archaea
Description: partial 16S ribosomal RNA
Rfam family: Archaeal small subunit ribosomal RNA
Source: RNAcentral
AGUCACUGACAUUAGAUACCCCCGUAGUCCCAGCCGUAAACAAUGUGCGUUAGGUGUGUCGGUAACCACGUGUUACUGAUGCGCCGAAGAGAAAUCGUGAAACGCACCACCUGGGAAGUACGGUCGCAAGGCUGAAACUUAAAGGAAUUGGCGGGGAGCACCACAACAGGUGGAGCCUGCGGUUUAAUUGGAUUCAACGCCGGACAUCUCACCGGAUAAGACAGCUGAAUGAUUGUCAAUCUGAAGGUUUUACAUGACUAGCUG